RNAcentral lists this ribosomal RNA (251 nucleotides) under uncultured bacterium. RNAcentral describes it as "partial 16S ribosomal RNA". It matches the Rfam family "Bacterial small subunit ribosomal RNA", at positions 524 to 776 of the family's 1533-position model. The record is from RNAcentral.
UACGAAGGGGGCUAGCGUUGCUCGGAAUUACUGGGCGUAAAGGGCGCGUAGGCGGAUGUUUAAGUCGGGGGUGAAAGCCCGGGGCUCAACCCCGGAAUUGCCUUCGAUACUGGACAUCUUGAGUACGGGAGAGGUGAGUGGAACUCCGAGUGUAGAGGUGAAAUUCGUAGAUAUUCGGAAGAACACCAGUGGCGAAGGCGACUCACUGGCCCGUUACUGACGCUGAGGCGCGAAAGCGUGGGAGCAACAGG